This 253-nucleotide ribosomal RNA is filed under the name uncultured bacterium. RNAcentral describes it as "partial 16S ribosomal RNA". It matches the Rfam family "Bacterial small subunit ribosomal RNA", at positions 524 to 776 of the family's 1533-position model. The record is from RNAcentral.
GACGAACCGUGCGAACGUUGUUCGGAAUCACUGGGCUUAAAGGGCGCGUAGGCGGGUCAGCCAGUUCGGGGUGAAAUCCUCCGGCUUAACCGGAGAACUGCCUCGAAGACGACUGAUCUGGAGGGAGGUAGGGGUCGCUGGAACUUCCGGUGGAGCGGUGAAAUGCGCAGAUAUUGGGAGGAACACCAGCGGCGAAGGCGGCACUCUGGGCUGGUACUGACGCUGAGGUGCGAAAGCGUGGGGAGCAAACAGG